GAAACACAGCAGCAAAUAAAGCACUGACUCCAAAGUACUUAAAAUCCAGCUGUUCACGUGUUGCUUGCUAGAGAGGGGGCAGGCUAAGAGCUGAAGUUUUGUUUAGAUGCUUUUGGGUAGUGAUGGAUGCUUUUAUGGGAGAAAAAUAAUUUCCAAUUUUGCUUGGCUUUGGCUUUUGACAGGCUAAUUUCUUCUGAAGACUAAAUAAGAUUGCACAGAAAUGAAGAGGGAGUAGCAAACCACAAAGGUGUUUUUUUGUUUUGUUUUGUUUUUGAGUGCAUCUGUUAAUACAGGGACUGGCAAAGAGAAGGAGACUAUCUAAGAAGAAAUUAAUUUCAGGUCCUGGAAGUUGUGAUUCCAACAGGACAAUGGGGAGAGACAGAAUUGUUUUGGGAACACUCCCAAAGAGAAGAAAUCAGGAUUAUGUAUAUUAAAAGGUCAGAGUGAUAUACAGAGAAUACAAAACAGUGUGAUAAAUGGUAGCUUAGGAUUGAAUAAUGGAAAUGAAAUGGAAAAAAAGACAAAAGAACGAUGAACUAAAUUGAUUGGAAAGAAGACAUCAAUGCAAUGAUUCAAAGGAAAUGACCUGUGAAAGAAAGUGAUGACAGAAAAAGGAAGUACAAAGUAGAUGAUUGGAAAAGAAUGAAGAAAAAUUGUGGGAAACAGCUGUCUCCUGCCUAUAUGGAAGGAACCCAAGUCAGUUAACUGAAACUGCAUACUAAGGGAAAAUAGAAUGGAGAAGUAUGAGGUAAAAUCAAACACAAUGUUAACUUGCAAAAUCUACCCACGACUCAAGUGAUUAAAAAAAAAAAUUCUGAAUUUUCCAUUUUUUCUCUUGUUUCAUUCUUGAUUACAUAGG
Molecule: long non-coding RNA, 859 nt
Filed under: Apteryx owenii (little spotted kiwi)
Lineage: Eukaryota; Metazoa; Chordata; Aves; Apterygiformes; Apterygidae
Description: lncRNA (ENSAOWG00000001411.1)
Source: RNAcentral